GUUGAUCCUGCGGGAGAUUGCUGCUAUUUGGGUUCGAUUAAGCCAUGCAAGUCUUCUAGCAAUAGAGGCAGAAUGCUCAGUAACACGUCGAUAACUUGCCCUUAAGUCUGGAAUAACCUCGGGAAACUGAGGCUAAGACCGGAUAGGAAAUUACUUCUGGAACGAUUUUUUUCUGAAAGGUAACGCUUAAGGAUAGGUCGGCGGCGGAUUAGGCUGUUGGCGAGGUAACGGCUCACCAAACCUUAGAUCCGUACGGGCUCUGAGAGGAGUAGCCCGGAGAGGGGCACUGAGGUACCGGCCCCAGCCCUACGGGGUGCAGCAGGCGCGAAACCUUUACAAUGCACGCAAGUGUGAUAAGGGAACCCAAAGUGCUUAGUUAAACUAGGCUUUUGUUGAGUGUAGAUAACUCGACGAAUAAGUGGUGGGAAAGACUGGUGCCAGCCGCCGCGGUAACACCAGCGCCACGAGUGGCAAUCCUAUUUAUUUGGCCUAAAGCGUCCGUAGCCGAUUGAGUAAAUCUCUUGUGAAAUUGUUCUGCUCAACAGAACAGCGUGCAGGAGACACUGCUUAGUUAGGGACCGGGAGGAGUCAGAGGUAUGCUUAGGGGAGCGGUAAAAUGUUAUAAUCCUAAGUAGACCACCUGUGGCGAAGGCGUCUGACUAGAACGGGUCCGACGGUGAGGGACGAAAGCCAAGGGAGCAAACCGGAUUAGAUACCCGAGUAGUCUUGGCUGUAAACUCUGCGAGCUAGGUGUCGCAUAUUCUCCGUGAAUAUGCGGUGUCGAAGCGAAGGUGUUAAGCUCGCCGCCUGGGAAGUACGGUCGCAAGACUGAAACUUAAAGGAAUUGGCGGGGGAGCACUACAAGGGGUGCGGCGUGCGGUUUAAUCUAACUCCACGCAGAGAAUCUCACCAGAGGCGACGGCAAGAUGAAGGUCAGUCUAAAGGGCUUACCUGAUGAGCCGAGAGGUAGUGCAUGGCCGCCGUCAGCUCGUGCCGUAAGGUGUCCUGUUAAGUCAGGCAACGAGCGAGACCUGUAUCCACAAUUGCUAACGACUAAUUUUUAGAAUCGAGCACAUUGUGGGGACUGCCCUGGAAACAGGGAGGAAGGUGCAGGCAACGGUAGGUCUGUAUGCUCCGAAUCUUCUGGGCUACACGCGCGCAACAAUGAUACAGACAAUGGGUCGCAACUCCGAAAGGAGAAGCUAAACCUCGAAACUGUACCCAAGUCCAGAUUGAGGGCUGUAACUCGCCCUCAUGACGCUGGAAUCCCUAGUAAUCGGAACUCAUCACAUUCCGGUGAAUAUGUCCCUGCUCCUUGCACACACCGCCCGUCAAACCACCCGAGUAGGGUCUAGAUGAGGCUUGGUUUUGAAUCAAGUCGAAUCUAAGCUUUGCGAGGAGGGUUAAGUCGUCACAAGGUA
Molecule: ribosomal RNA, 1421 nt
Filed under: metagenome
Description: bacterial SSU rRNA
Rfam family: Archaeal small subunit ribosomal RNA
Source: RNAcentral